Molecule: long non-coding RNA, 711 nt
Organism: Lolium perenne
Lineage: Eukaryota; Viridiplantae; Streptophyta; Magnoliopsida; Poales; Poaceae
Source: RefSeq, a predicted model, not a curated record
AUCCAAUCUAAACAGAGAAGAAGAUGAGGGGAGGGCUGGCCCAGGCGCCCGACGGCGGAGGUCGGGGGUGUGCUGUAUGAGGUCGACCUCCGCGCGGGGCGCACAAGGGAGUCGGUCUGCGGUGGGGAUGGGUACGCAGGGGAGCCGGACGACGGCAGGAUCGGGCGUCAAGAACUCGGUGCAGGCCCCUCCCCUUCGAGCCUCCAGAUCCGUCGGUGGUGGCAGAGGCAGCGGACGGGAUUGCGGUUGGGCGGUGGCCUACGGAACGCCCCAGGCACGUGAUGGCGGCUAAUGGCGAGCUGCACGGACGAGCUGCUCCGGGAAAGCGAAGCGAAAAUGAUGAGCCCCUGCCGCACCGGCAUCGCCGCCGCCGACUGGCCCCAUCCCCGGGCGCGACGCUGAAGCUUUACUCGACGGUGCAGCGCAGGCAGAUGAAAUUGGCCAGAGUUGGGGAUGGAGAAAGAUGAACACGACGUCAAGCCGUGAGGGGAUGGAGGCUCUGUUCGGCUGUUCCUUCGUAGUUCGUAUCGUCAGGCGUUGGACGUUCUGUUCGGCUGUUCCUUCGUACGCACUGUACGGUUGCUGAAGCUGUUCCAACUGAAGAUUAAAAUCUUGUAAACCCAGGCUUUCUAUUUCAGAAAAUUACAUUAUUGUUACGUGUACCUGUUGGUGUCGUAAAACAUGAUGCGCUUCUAAAGCUUGUUCCUUGCA